Molecule: unclassified non-coding RNA, 342 nt
Filed under: soil metagenome
Description: partial contains 5.8S ribosomal RNA, internal transcribed spacer 2, and large subunit ribosomal RNA
Rfam family: 5.8S ribosomal RNA (bases 1-120)
Source: RNAcentral
GAUGAAGUACGCAGCGAAAUGCGAUAAGUAAUGUGAAUUGCAGAAUUCAGUGAAUCAUCGAAUCUUUGAACGCACAUUGCGCCCGCCAGCACUCUGGCGGGCAUGCCUGUUCGAGCGUCAUUUCAACCAUCAAGCCCCCAGGGGCUUGUGCUGGGGCCCUGCGGCUGCCCGCAGGCCCUGAAAACCAGUGGCGGGCUCGCUAGUCACACCGAGCGCAGUAGCACAUCUCGCUCAGGGCGUGCGGCGGGCUCCUGCCGUGAAACCCCCCACUGUAACCCCAAAGGUUGACCUCGGAUCAGGUAGGAAUACCCGCUGAACUUAAGCAUAUCAAUAAGCGGAGGA